Molecule: long non-coding RNA, 515 nt
Organism: Mus musculus (house mouse)
Lineage: Eukaryota; Metazoa; Chordata; Mammalia; Rodentia; Muridae
Product: predicted gene, 33638
Exons: 3
Source: RefSeq, a predicted model, not a curated record
AUUAUCAUCCGUGUCGUGGACUGGUGGGAAGUCUUAAGAGAGUCGUGAUCACAGAUAGUGACUAACUGCAUGAUGACAUGUGGCCAGAGAAUGAAUAUCCUCCUGAGGAGUUGUAAUGGUUGAUUGCCAACCUGACGGGAAUGAAAACUCCCGGAUUAGUAAAGCCAGCCUUGGUGGUGAAUACACACGUGCUAACACCAUCACCACCAAAAGAAGAGUACUGGGUGUCCUGUGACACUACAACAGUUAUAGCCAUCACUGGGCCACAGGAAACUUUCAUCUCCAUGGUAACCUGAUAGGAGCGGAGUCAUACACGCAGUGGAAGUGUGUGCUCUGGACUCUCUCAAGGCAAAGCAGCAAGGUCUUCUCAGAGGUGGAGCUGUCGCUAAGGGCAAGGAAGACACAGAACUGAGACCUUUAUCUCCAUUUCUAUUCCUUGGAACUGCAACUUCUCCAGCCUGUGGUCUUCAACUAAAAAUAAAAAACAGUCCUUGGUGGGUUGGGACACUUGAAGA